AGACAAGGGACACAAGAAAAUGUUGGUC
This 28-nucleotide small RNA is filed under the name Bombyx mori (domestic silkworm). RNAcentral's name for it is "ovarian small RNA-11806". Lineage: Eukaryota; Metazoa; Arthropoda; Insecta; Lepidoptera; Bombycidae. The record is from RNAcentral.